Molecule: long non-coding RNA, 100 nt
Organism: Sinocyclocheilus grahami
Lineage: Eukaryota; Metazoa; Chordata; Actinopteri; Cypriniformes; Cyprinidae
Exons: 3
Source: RefSeq, a predicted model, not a curated record
CGCGGUAUGACUGGUGUGUACCACCAGUUUUUCUCCUUUCUUGAGAGUGAUGGAGUCAUUGACUGUACCAAUGAGCUACACAUCUGCGCAUUGCAUUAUG